GGGGAUGAAAGGAUUUCGACGGGGAUUCUGAACCAUGAUAAGCGAGCAGCGGUGCGGAACCGCUAUAAAAUCCGCAACUUUUAAAAAUAAACGACAAAAACGUUUCUUUACAGGCUGCCUAAUUAGGCACCCGUUCUUACCGAAAGUACUGCGGUUCGGAUAAGAACGUCGAUUAGCAGUGAACGUGAACAGCCCCAUACCUCUAAGGCUGUCAUGACUCAGAGGCUGCCAAAGCUUUAAGCCUGCCUUUCGGCGUGAAGCUGCGGGAGAUUUAAAAGAAAGGAUACGCUCGUAGAAAGUUGUGGCAAGGGGUUUUCGGACGCGGUUUCGAUUACCGCCAUCUCCACCA
Molecule: small RNA, 349 nt
Filed under: Acutalibacteraceae
Lineage: Bacteria; Bacillati; Bacillota; Clostridia; Eubacteriales
Also listed under: 1 other name
Description: UMGS263 sp900540535 Standard tmRNA
Rfam family: transfer-messenger RNA
About the family: Bacterial tmRNA, also known as 10Sa RNA or SsrA, is named for its dual tRNA and mRNA-like properties. Its role is to liberate the mRNA from a stalled ribosome.
Source: RNAcentral